CGACAAAGUUCCACGCCCACACGGGAGAGGGGCGUACGGCGCACGCGCAGCGCGGUAAACGCCCUCGCACCCAUCGGUACGGGAGCUUUCGUGGAACCAGGUUAGGGUAGCGGGGCGUGCGGUGUUGGGGAGGGAGGGAGAAGCUAUAGAGAGGGAGGAGUCGGCGGUGUUUGGGAUCGGGGUAAAGGAUGUUAGGUCGCCAGCGAUGGGGAGGAGGUAGGCUGGAGGCGGCAGUCGGCGGCGGCGGCGAUGCCGAAGAGACAGGUGGCUGACGCACGCACGUCCACCGGUCAAAGGAAGGCGGGGCUGGAAGAGGUAACAGAGGGGUCAAGUGGGGGUAGGGAACGACGGGCUCCACGAGUAGAAGGGUCCAGCACUCCUUCGGCGCACUCCUACAGAGGUGCCAUUAGCCCCUUGGUGGUACCGCACGGCGGCCCCCUUCGGAACCUAGGUACGUCCCCCGGAGGGGCCCCCGCGUCUCCUCCCCCACACCUCCGCACUCCGGUCUUCCUCAAACCCUAGCGACCUCCUCGUGUCGGGCGUGCCCCCGACCAAUAGCGGUCUCGUCUCCCCUCCUCCAGCUACGUCCCCUACGGUACAUACCAGCCCCGCGACCUAGGCGGAAAGGGGUACGGUGGCGACAGGAUGCAGUUGCUACGGCGGUACCGGAAGAGAGGUGACUGGAGAAAGGUGCUUAAAAACGGAAGUUGCGAUUCCUCGUCCCUGCCAGACAUCCGAUCGCCAUCGCCCUACCUUAGGGGAACAGGUCAUGGUCGGCCACUUCUACCUUCCUUCGGUGCCCAUGGAGUUCCGAAUCCUUGAAAAACCCUAUUGACUCAACCAGUUACAGUUUUUACCUUUUCCUCUUCCUUUAGUGGUAAGCUAAAUACUAACCCGCAUCCAACCUCCGUAACCGCACUUCCACAGCACUCAAUAGACGUUCCCGUAACAACACUGCACGAGGAGGUAUAGAGGACGCUCAAUAACCACACCGCUAGUACCGAGGUCUAUCGUCGCGAAGUUCCAGUGAAUUCGGACUUACUCAAUAGUUCAGAUGACCUUGAUAAGUACAAAUCCGAACAAGUAACCAAAAGCUUGUCUGUCAGGGAAUUCAUACAAACUAGUGUUAAUUUUCCUCCUUCAGUCUAAUAACGUUACACACCGACGUCCAUUUCAACAGUUCUACUAGACCACGAACGAGCUCGGCAACUAAUGACGACGAAACGAUUCCAAGUUCCAUUGGGGAAAUCGUACUACUGAUGGUCUCACUGGAAGCUACACAUAUCUACCACUACGUAUACCCCUGUCUGUUCUUGAUCGCUUGAAUUAUAGUCUAAGGGAGUUGAUACUUAAGAAAUUAAUAACUUCCGAAGGUAUAAGUAUAGUUAUGUUCCGUCUUAUACUACGUCCACUUACGGAAAUAAAACAAAGAAAUGCUAGAAGAGGAGAUGAAUUACUAUCUACGUCACAUAUCCCAGUAGCUCAGUCAAACUUACGAAAGUACUGUUGGCCAUAUCGUGACUUAGUCCGUUCCACACUUAUUCACACGACUUUACGAACGAAGCAAAUACACAAAUGACGAAUGAAACAGCAUGUUCAAGGUGAAAACUUAGACGGGAGAAAAUCCGUGCACAUAAAGGGUGUUUAUACAACCAUUUACACACGUGAUGUAUCAAAAGUCCGGUUGACCUAAUGCUCUCGGAGGAGGAAGAAGGGGAGGAGUGAUUCCUCCAGUCUAGCUAGAUCGUAGAAAAGGGGAUUAAAUCCCCAGGAGGGUACCGGGGAGGAGAUGAGCCGAGAGGAGACAGGAUAAAGAGGAGAUAGUUUUUAUGCUUUUGAUGGUGCUUUUAUUCACUACGAACGACGAGAAGUGACGAUUUAUAGUACUACUUCAUAUAGUUCACUGUAGCAGGGUCUUCUUCUCUACUCGUAAGUUAUAUGUUUCUUUUUUUAGUCCAGGUUAUAAACGUACUUAUGACUAAGACCGUUGUACAAUUACUAAGUAUUUAUUAGAGGGCAAAGGAGAUUGGAUACAUACAGAAAGAUAUAAUUAAGUAUUUUUACUUAGUCGUGUCAAGUAUAAACUAAAGUUCUAUUUCUUUAAACUUUCUACAUAUUCUCCACUUAGUUUACUGUAAUAAAGUUUCAACAUGUUGUAUAUAGUAGUGAUGAUCUUUUGUAAAACAUCCUCCCACGUAAAUUAGAAGACAUGAUUUAAGAAGUAACGGAAGGGUACUAACAACCUCAUGUUAAGAGUGUCCUCCAGGGCAAUUACAAUAUAAAUCUCCCACAGUUCAAAUCUGGUAGCACGGAUGCCAUUGUAAAGUAUUUUAGGUGCGAUUAGAAUACACCCCAAGUUCAGCCUAUAGAUCCCAUCAAGAUAAUUAAGGACUUACCAACGAGCCCAUCAUUACUUAAAUAAAUAAAUAAAAAGAAGAAGAUCGACAACAGUUUAUGAAUUCGUAAAGGGAAAGUAUGAUAAAAUCUAAAUUUUACUCUCAACGGUAAGAGGUUGUUCAUAUCAGAACCCAAUCAACAACUGUCGAGUUCACAUCACAUGUAGUCAAUGUGUACUUAUCUAACGAAAAAUCACAUGACGUGGUAAAUUUACCUUUUGAAUAAUGUGAUUACAGUAAGAGGUCAUUCGUAUCAACCUACAUGUAGUCAAUUUGAAGAAGAUUUACAACAAUUUACGAGUUCAUGAAAGGAAAGUAUAAUAGUCAAUGUGGACUGUCCAACGAACUCUUCCACGUCAUGUGAUGUAGUGAUUUGAGAUGUCAUUACCUAACGACCUCUUCCCACGUCAUGUGACUACGGUAUGAUACAAUGUGACCACGGUAAAGGCUCGAUCUAGUUUCGGUAAUAAUAAGGAGUCUACCGCGUUACCUUAUACCGGUAAAUAUAAAGAAUAAACAAUUGUCACAACACAUGAUAUCUACUUAAUAAUUAAUUUGGACUUACAGCGGCUGAGCUGUCCUGUCACCAUCGCUGGACAAAUUGUGGUCCACAACGUCCAUGAGAGACUAACGUUUCCUACAAAUCUUAGUCUUGUUUUGAUCCAUAACACAGAACACCGUACGACUCUGAAAGUUCUUUCUCCAGGAAUAGUCUCUUCGUAAGAGAAGAAUGUUGACUACAUACUAUACUAAAUCAGGUUAGGAAUAAAGAGACCCCGUAGUUGUUACAUUCGGACAAGCUAAGUAAUGGUAUACAAAAGGAGACUCUACGAAGGCAGACGAUCUAUUGUAAAAAACCAGUACAACGUAGUGUACUGAGCUCGUUCAUUGUGAACAAAGGAUGAAAAUUGAGGCAUGAUUACGGAAGAACCAAUAGAAAAUACAACUUUGACGCAUUACGUCAUUCGUUAUGGGUACCGUUCAGAGAGACAAUACCUUCCAGGUGGUUGGUAUCGCAGUUGAGAAUCUAAGAAAGUGUACCGUACUUAAGAAAAGAUGUUUCACCUAGGACAAAAAGAAAUCCACUGUUACGUACGACCAAGAAAAGUGAACCUCUUUCUAAUUGAGACCUUCCGUCAUAAAAGAAACCUAAGAAAGUGAGAGGAAAAGUACCGCGGUGAUAACUGUAAGUCAAAGACUUCGUUCAGUAAGGGAU
RNAcentral lists this ribosomal RNA (3612 nucleotides) under Triticum aestivum (bread wheat). RNAcentral describes it as "partial small subunit ribosomal RNA". Lineage: Eukaryota; Viridiplantae; Streptophyta; Magnoliopsida; Poales; Poaceae. The record is from RNAcentral.